This 731-nucleotide ribosomal RNA is filed under the name Stygamoeba regulata. Its description in RNAcentral is "partial Eukaryotic large subunit ribosomal RNA". It matches the Rfam family "Eukaryotic large subunit ribosomal RNA", at positions 342 to 866 of the family's 3401-position model. The record is from RNAcentral. Lineage: Eukaryota; Discosea; Stygamoebida.
GAACAAGUACCGUGAGGGAAAGAUGCAAAGAACUUUGAAAAGAGAGUCAAAAGGGCUUGAAAUUGUUAACAGGGAAGCGAUUGUGUCCAGUAUUCACUUGCAUGGCACUCAGGCCGUGGCACUGCUGGGCGCGCGCGGUGCGCGAGGUGUCCUCAUGGGCGCCCGCGUGACGUGCGUGUGAGCCCCAGCGUGGCUGGCUGCACUUGACAUGCUGGGUGAGUCAAUGUCAGUUCGUUGGGCGCGCGGGAGAAGGCCAGUGGGAAGGUAGCUCGCCGCUGGUGAGUGUUUAUAGACCGCUGGAGUGCAUACCGCAGCUCGGACUGAGGGAACUCCAAUCCGCACACGCGCAAGCUGGGCGAACCCGUACUGCGCGCUGCGGUCCGCUGCUGGACAAGGGAAUCCCUUGUGCCGUGGCGGCGCCGUGGUGUGUCGAGGCGCGGGCGCACCCAUGUGUGCACAUGGACAUUGACAAAAUGGGCCCAACCGACCCGUCUUGUAACACGGACCAAGGAGUCUAACGUAUGUGCAAGCAUUGUGGUGGCAAACCAAUCACCCGGGUCACGGGUGGACAAUGCGCAAUGAAAGUAAAAGGGUGGGAACCGGGGUAGCACCCGGGGCACCAUCGACCGAUCUGGAUAUUUCUUUUUGAAAGAUUUGAGUAGAAGUACGUCCGUUAGGACCCGAAAGAUGGUGAACUAUGCCUGCAUAGGGUGAAGCCAGAGGAAACUCUG